UCCAGGUGCAGGGGAUGGCCAGUGAAAAUGCCCAGAGUUGGGUGAUGGAGGGUCUAGUGCAGGGAACAGCCACACCUAUCAAGUGCAGAACAUCAACAGGCCAUUGUGGCUGGGAUGCAAGUGUGAGGAGGAGAGAAAAGUGGAAGAAGACUGGAAAGAAAGGUGGCUUGCUGAAAGGUGGAUGUUACAAUGUCGAUGUCUUUCCUAAGACGGGACACCCUGCAAUGAACAUAACGUCCCCCAUGCGGUCACACCAGGGCAGAAUACAACGAUGACGUGCACCUCUAAAACUGGGCAUUAUCCUCUUCUGAGAUUACAUUGGCUGGAUCUCCAGACCUGACAUAUGUCCUGAGCUCAGGAGCCCCAGCUUCCAUCAGCCUGCUGAAUAUACUGCCACUACCACAAGCUUGAUACGUCUAAAAUGGAAAUAAAAUUCUUAAACUUA
Phascolarctos cinereus (koala) is the source of this 445-nucleotide non-coding RNA. NCBI's taxonomy places the organism in Eukaryota, Metazoa, Chordata, Mammalia, Diprotodontia, Phascolarctidae. The record is from RefSeq and is a predicted model, not a curated record.